RNAcentral lists this long non-coding RNA (938 nucleotides) under Homo sapiens (human). RNAcentral describes it as "HSALNT0344526". The record is from RNAcentral. Lineage: Eukaryota; Metazoa; Chordata; Mammalia; Primates; Hominidae.
CGCGCGACAAACCCAAACCACGGAGAAGGGUGAGGCGCGCGACAAACCCAAACUGUUGAGAAGGGUGAGGCGCGCGACAAACCCAAACCGCCGAGAAGGGUGAGGCGCGCGACAAACCCAAACCGUCGAGAAGGGUGAGGCGCGCGACAAACCCAAACCGUCGAGAAGGGUGAGGCGCGCGACAAACCCAAACCGCCGAGAAGGGUGAGGCGCGCGACAAACCCAAACCGCCGAGAAGGGUGAGGCGCGCGACAAACCCAAACCGCCGAGAAGGGUGAGGCGCGCGACAAACCCAAACCGUCGAGAAGGGUGAGGCGCGCGACAAACCCAAACCGCCGAGAAGGGUGAGGCGCGUGACAAACCCAAACCGUUGAGAAGGGUGAGGCGAGUGACAAACCCAAACUGUUGAGAAAAGUGAGGCACGUGACAAACCCAAACUGCCGAGAAAGGUGAGGUGUGUGACAAACCCAAACUGCCGAGAAGGGUGAGGCGCGUGACAAACCCAAACUGCUGAGAAAAGUGAGGCGCGCGACAAACCCAAACUGCCGAGAAGGGUGAGGCGUGUGAUAAACCCAAACUGCCGAGAAAGCCAUCUUGGGGCAUUAAUGUUCUAACUGAAGGAGGUUCUCAGACCACAGAACUGAAGCAACAACGGUCACAUCCUUUCCCUUCUGUGUCUCAGCCGCAGUGUGGGUGUGAACAAGAAACCCAAGCAGCAUCCUCAUCCUAUCUGCAGCUACGAUGAGGACUCCAACACUUCCUCAACCACAUGACCACUCGGAUUCAGGUGCUGAAGAAGCACUUGUUUAAAAUAGCUAAAUUGUGGCUCCUGAAUUAGCUAUGCCAACUAUUUUCAGUUACAAGUCUUCACAAUAUUUUAUUAAAGUAUUAAGUCAAUGAUUAACACUGAGAAUAAAAAAAUAUUUGCCCUUUCUUUA